RNAcentral lists this transfer RNA (2159 nucleotides) under Equus asinus (donkey). RNAcentral's name for it is "lncRNA (ENSEASG00005024749.1)". Lineage: Eukaryota; Metazoa; Chordata; Mammalia; Perissodactyla; Equidae. The record is from RNAcentral.
CCAUAAAAGGAUAUGCAGGUGUAUAAAAGGACGAGGUAAAUAAUGAAAAUGGUGAUGAGAUGCCACUGAAAAGAAUUAUAGCAGCUAAUGUUUAAUGAGCAUUUAUUAAGUCUUCAAAUGCUUUAUGUGCAUAUCUCAUUCAAAUUUAGAUUAACCCAUGAAGGAAGUACUCCUAUUUGCCCACUUUUAUAGACGAAGAAACUGAGGCACAGAAAAUUCAAUAACUUCUUGGAAGUCACGUGGUGGAAGAACCAACAUUUCCACCCAGAACUUGAGGCUUCACUACAAGUGAAGACUGAGGUUUUGUUGUUCUCCUUUCUUGGGAUUUUCAGGUUCCAGGCUGAGAAGUUGUAAAAACUCAGCUUCAGGAAGCGAGAGAAUCUGUGCAGUGGCUCUGGGAUAAGUGAGCUCUGAAGCUGCAGUCGGGGGCUCUAUUGGAAAAAUUCCUUCUCUUAGGCACUUUUACGGAACUUGAGUCUUCGGGCAGCAUAUUUCGGAGUCUGAUUUAAAGCGGAUAGAGGUCCAGAAGUCUCUGAGGAUAAGGUCGGUAACAGGUAAUCUAAAACAGCAAGUAGCUGGAAAGGAUUCCGGUGAAGUAAAAUAUACCGUCCCUGGGUGGGCUCGAACCACCAACCUUUCGGUUAACAGCCGAACGCGCUAACCGAUUGCGCCACAGAGACACGAAGAUUUUGGUUCCUAAACUUUUUCCUGGUCCCGAGAAAUUGCUUUUCAGCCUCUGGCUGGGGCCGUCCUCAGAUUAUCGCAUUCCAAAAACCAGGAACGCAGGAGACGCUGAGGCUCAGAAUUGUGUCAUUGGGCACGUUUGGACAUUCAUACCCGGCCAGAGUCAGCUGGCGGACUCUGACGGCCGAAGGCCACAUCCACGGCCUUGUCUCCUGGCUCGAGGUGACAACGUCUCUGGCUGAAGUCAUCCGCUUUCCCAUUCUUAGCUCCCGUCACCCGUCGCGCUCACAGCAAGUCCUGCAGGACCCGGCGGGCGCGCGUGCGAAGGACACGAACCGGCUGUGCCCCCGCCGCGCUGCCCGCUCUCGAUGCUUCUGGAUGUGGACUCCACCGGGCGGGACCUGGGAAUUGCUCGCGAUGCAGCCCGUCCCCCAGAGCAGGGCCUGGCACCUAGUAGGCGCCCAAUUAAUGCUCGGUGAAGGAAUGCAUUCCGCCGCAGGGUCCUAGGGGAACCAAGAAUUCCAGUGUGGGCUUUAAGCAUUUAGUCCCAUUAGGAACUGUGGAAUGGGAAGACGGGAAAGGUUUCUCGUACAGGCGCGCUUUUGUUCCCAGAGCUGAUUCAGAUCACUGCAAAGGCCCUGACUUUGGACACGUGCGCACCGUGGCUGAACUGAGCUCCCCGCCGUGGACGCCCACGUAGCCUCAGCCUGGGGUCGUCUGUCCUGGGAGUGGGGGUGGGAAAGCUGAAGAAGAGGAGAAGAAAGCGAGUUGGGGCGGGGGGCAGCCUGGUGAGGGGUGGGGAGAGAGCGAGCGAGCGCUCUGGCUACUAAAGAAAAAGGCCAACAGAAAAUGGAAAAUGCCUAUUUUCGUUAAAUAGCUUCGAUCACCCUCCCCCUGCCCCCUCUGUCGGUCAAAGUGAAGACCGUGAUCGUGUACGGUUGAUGGUUUUGAAUCCGAAUGACGGAUGUUCAUCUUUGAAAUGCUUAGUUAAAGACAGCAACUCCUCGAGAUGUCACCCUUAAGACCUGGCGACUUCUCGAGUCCAGAUCUCGGAGCAGGCCCCAGAGGAGAGGCGGAGAACGCGCAGGGCUGAGGCGCAGAAAGUGCGCUUGGCGCCGCGUGAACUUUCACUUGUGCACCCACGAUUGUCGAAGAAAGUUGGAAAAUUUCAGUAACAGGACUAAGGAGGUGGAUCCGUGCAACGCGCCGAGGUUGCCUUCGGUCUUGGCUCAGAUAUUUUACAUUUGGGCAACUGAUCCCAAACUGCAACGGAGAAGAGAAGCUCAUGGCUUUGUCUCAUCCUGCUAGCUCGGCUUGUAGCGCUCACGACUUUUAAUUUCAAAGUCUCGAGCAUCGCCCAGAGUCCAGCGCGUUUUACUUGAUUCUCUUCUAAUUGAGUACCCGCCGUUGCCGGGCUCUACGGAUCCCCGAGGCGGCCACGAGGGGGCGCGUGGUCCUUCCUCUUGGAACCCUGC